UAGCGCGUUAGUAGUAUGCAUCAGACCCGAAGCCAGAUGAGCUUGCCUUGAGCAGGUUGAAGUGAUUCGAAAGAUUAUGGAGGACCGAACGCUAGAGUUGUGCAAAUUCUCUGCGAUGACUUGAGUAAGGAGUGAUAAGCUAAUCGAAUCUGGUAAUAGCUGGUUCUCUCCGAAAUAGCUUUUGGGCUAGCGUUGAAUGGACCCCACUGGGGUAGAGCACUGGAAGGUCUCGACAGGUCGCAAGAUCACGAGACCUAUCAAACUCCGAAUACAGUGGAUUAUUAUUCAGCAGUUAGACGUGGGGGCUAAGCUCCAUGCGUCAAAAAGGAAACAGCCUAGAUCUCCAUUUUAAGGUCCCUAAAUUCAUGUUAAGUACACUUAAGGUGGUUGAAUUUCUCAAACAAUGAGGAUGUUGGCUUAGAAGCAGCCAUCAUUUUAAAGAAAGCGUAACAGCUCACUCAUCGAGAGAUUCUGCGCCGCAGAUAAUCGGG
RNAcentral lists this ribosomal RNA (491 nucleotides) under uncultured bacterium. Its description in RNAcentral is "bacterial LSU rRNA". It matches the Rfam family "Bacterial large subunit ribosomal RNA", at positions 688 to 1179 of the family's 2925-position model. The record is from RNAcentral.